Molecule: small RNA, 820 nt
Filed under: Pan troglodytes (chimpanzee)
Lineage: Eukaryota; Metazoa; Chordata; Mammalia; Primates; Hominidae
Description: retained intron
Source: RNAcentral
GGGAGAGCUGGGCUGGCUGCUGGAUCCCCCAAAAGAUGGGUGGAGUGAACAGCAACAGAUACUGAAUGGGACACCCCUGUACAUGUACCAGGACUGCCCAAUGCAAGGACGCAGAGACACUGACCACUGGCUUCGCUCCAAUUGGAUCUACCGCGGGGAGGAGGCUUCCCGUGUCCACGUGGAGCUGCAGUUCACCGUGCGGGACUGCAAGAGUUUCCCUGGGGGAGCCGGGCCUCUGGGCUGCAAGGAGACCUUCAACCUUCUGUACAUGGAGAGUGACCAGGAUGUGGGCAUUCAGCUCCGACGGCCCUUGUUCCAGAAGGUGCUGCUUCCCUCCAUGCCAUCUGGGUCCUGGUGCAGAUCCCUGGUGGCUCCUUAUUGGGUGCCAGAGAAGGUUGCAGAGACAGGAAGAGGGUGCAGAGGUAGAAUCAUGAAAAGAAUUUGGCACUUGAAGGCUGGGCAUGGUGGCUUGUGCCUGUAAUUCCAGUGCUUUGGGAAACCGAUGUGGGAAGAUCACUUGAGGCCAGGAGCUUGAGACCAGCCUGGGCAACAUAGCAAAACUUCAUCUCUGCAAAAAAUUAAAAAUCACCUGGGCAUGGUGGCCCAUACCUGUAGUCCCAGCGACUCAGGAGGCUGAGGCAGGAGGAUCACUUGAGCCCAGGAGUUUGAGGCUGCAGUGAUCUAUGAUUGUGCCACUGCAUACCAGCCUGGGCAACAGAGCAAGAUCCUGUCUCUAAAGAAAAAAAGAACAAUGUGGCAUUGGAAAUCAGAAGGGCUGGAUUUGAGUAUCUUUUCUGCUGUGCCGUGACUUUGGGGGUGU